CCCGCUUUCCCAAGCCAAAGAUCCUCACGUCUGUCCAUAUUACUUACAUUCAUCAUAAAAUCCAUAAAUUCUAUUAAUGCUGGCACAUUCAUGGUUCCCUCUGAGGAGGAAAAAGUUCUCCGGAUAUUUAAUUUUGUAGGCCAGUAGAAGACAAAUUGUUUCUAAAGACUGCUUUCCUCUGUCAACAUAGUCACCAAGGAAUAGGUAGUUGCUUUCUGGUGGAAAGCCUCCAUAUUCAAAGAGCCGAAGCAAGUCAUAGUAUUGUCCAUGGAUGUCACCACAUAUUUUCAGUGGAGCUUCAAGUUCUAGCAGAAUAGGCUGACUGAGAAAGAUUUCUCUGGAUUUCAAGCACAGUCCUCUGAUUUCAUUCUCUUGAAGUUGGACAUUUUUACCUGGUUUUGAUCCUCUCACCUCCAGCAGCCGUUGGAUGAUGCUGUCGAUGUUCAGCUUGUCUAUAUCCGCCAUCGCCUCUCAGCGGCCGGGCGGACCCCUCCCCGCCGCUCCCCUCCCUCCGCUGGCUGCUCGGCUGGCCCGACUCCUCUCUUCUCGUCGGCCCGUCGUGCUUUCCCCGUGCCCUCUAUCCUGCCCGUUCUCUUUCUUCCCUCUCGCUUUUCCCCCCGCCCCCCCUUUGCCGCUGCUCUCAGCGCAGCCCCAGCGCGGAACAAAAUGGCCGCCUUCUCCUCAGUGAGCUUGGGGGAGCG
This 701-nucleotide long non-coding RNA is filed under the name Gallus gallus (chicken). The record is from RNAcentral. Lineage: Eukaryota; Metazoa; Chordata; Aves; Galliformes; Phasianidae.